AGAGUUUGAUCCUGGCUCAGAUUGAACGCUGGCGGCAUGCCUUACACAUGCAAGUCGAACGGUAGAGUAGCAAUACUCGAGAGUGGCGAACGGGUGAGUAAUAUAUCGGAAUGUGCCCAGUCGUGGGGGAUAACGUAGAGAAAUUUACGCUAAUACCGCAUACGAUCUACGGAUAGAAAGCGGGGGAUCGCAAGACCUCGCGCGAUUGGAGCGGCUGAUAUCAGAUUAGGUUGUUGGUGAGGUAAAAGCUCACCAAGCCGACGAUCUGUAGCUGGUUUGAGAGAACGACCAGCCACAGCUGGGACUGAGACACGGCCCAGUACUCCUACGAGGAGGCAGCAGUGGGGAAUUUUCGGACAAUGGGCGAAAAGCGCUGAUCCAGCAAUGCCGCGUGCAGGAGAGAUACGCGCUUCGGGUUGUAAACUGCUUUUGUACGGAACGAGAACUGUCUUUUGAUAAUAGGGAAGGCUAAAUGACGGUACCGUAAGAGUAAGCACCGGCUAACUACGUGCCAACAGCCGCGGUAGUACGUAUGGUGCGAGCGUAAAUCGGAAUUACUGGGCGUACAGCGUGCGCAGGCGGUGAUGCGAGACAGUCGUGAAAUUCCCGGGGCACUANCCUGGGAAUUGCAUCUUGUGACUGCCUANCUUGAGUCCCGUUGAAGGGGGAUGGUAAUCCUCGUGUANCAUCGAAAUGCCUANAUUUGCGGAUGAACACCGAUCGCUACGGCUAUCCUCUUGUACGGGUUUCUGACCCUCUUGCCNUAAUNGCGCUNGGAUCCACCCCUGAUUGGAAUANCUUUGG
This 804-nucleotide ribosomal RNA is filed under the name uncultured bacterium. RNAcentral's name for it is "bacterial SSU rRNA". It matches the Rfam family "Bacterial small subunit ribosomal RNA", at positions 9 to 873 of the family's 1533-position model. The record is from RNAcentral.